Macaca fascicularis (crab-eating macaque) is the source of this 117-nucleotide unclassified non-coding RNA. It matches the Rfam family "Metazoan signal recognition particle RNA". Rfam says of the family: The signal recognition particle (SRP) is a universally conserved ribonucleoprotein. It is involved in the co-translational targeting of proteins to membranes. NCBI's taxonomy places the organism in Eukaryota, Metazoa, Chordata, Mammalia, Primates, Cercopithecidae. The record is from Ensembl.
GCCGGGCACGAUGGCUCACGCCUGUAAUCCCAGCACUUUGGGAGGCUGAGGUGGGUGGAUCACCUGAGGUCAGGAGUUCGAGACUAGCCUGACCAACAUGGUGAAACCCCAUCUCUA